GAAAUGCGAUAAGUAGUGUGAAUUGCAGAAUUCAGUGAAUCAUCGAAUCUUUGAACGCACAUUGCGCCCACUGGUAUUCCGGUGGGCAUGCCUGUUCGAACGUCAUCAAACCCCUCAGCAAGAGCCCUUUUGGCCUCUCUGCUGGUCCUGCCUCAGGCCCCAGCCCUCGCGGCGACGGCCGAGGUGAAACCCAAUGAUGCUGACAGCCGUGUUGUCUUCGUGUAGUAAAUCUUUUCUCAUGGAAGCAGCUCCGGUUCGUCCAGCCAACUAGACCCCAACAUUCAAGCGUUUGACUUCGGAUCAGGUAGGGAUACCCGCUGAACUUAA
This 327-nucleotide unclassified non-coding RNA is filed under the name uncultured Ascomycota. RNAcentral's name for it is "sequence contains ITS1". The stretch from base 1 to 105 matches the Rfam family "5.8S ribosomal RNA", at positions 50 to 154 of the family's 154-position model. The record is from RNAcentral. Lineage: Eukaryota; Fungi; Ascomycota.